RNAcentral lists this long non-coding RNA (302 nucleotides) under Ananas comosus (pineapple). Its description in RNAcentral is "long non-coding RNA (ACOM_LNC039571)". Lineage: Eukaryota; Viridiplantae; Streptophyta; Magnoliopsida; Poales; Bromeliaceae. The record is from RNAcentral.
UUGGAAGCGUGCCGACAAGGUGGAACGUGAUCGUUCUAUCGUUAGGAGUAAUUGCCGGAAAGCCUCGCACGUGGAGGAGCAAUUUCGCUUCUAGUGCAGUACUCUGCACGCCUCGAUCCACAAGUCUUAUCUAAACAUUUUCUUUACCAUAUUUGUUAUUUAAUUUCGUUUCGGGAUUUUCCUCAACCUGUAAUUAAAUUUUCGAAUUGGUUUUUAAAGAAUAUUAUAAUAAAAGAUCAGAAAGUUUUUCCGACACUAAAGUGAAAGAGUUGGUAGAUAUUGGGCAUGACAUUUUAUUUUUU